AAGAAAGAGAAGAAGGAAAAAGCUGCCGCUCAGUAAAUCAUUCCAAAAGCUUGGUUUUCGUUUUCUUUUUCUCUUUCCCUUUCCCUUUCCUUUUUGGGCUUCAUAAUCUAGGG
This 113-nucleotide non-coding RNA is filed under the name Porphyridium aerugineum. Lineage: Eukaryota; Rhodophyta; Bangiophyceae; Porphyridiales; Porphyridiaceae. The record is from RNAcentral.